CUUCUUUCAUACGCUUUGUCUCUCAUGUCUCUCUCAUUCUCUCAAAACGUUUCAAACGAUUUCUGCAAAACCCUAAUCGGCGAAUCCUCUACUUAGCAACCCUAACCGGCGAUUCCUCUACAAAGCAACCUUAAUCGGCGAUUCCUCUACAUGGAGAUUCGAUGAAACACAGAUUCGAUGGACACAUGGAGAUUACCAAUUCGAUUCGGGUCUCUUGAAACGCAGAUUCUAUAUCCGAUUACCCCAAUUGUCUCGAUCUUGAUCUCUGAGAUUUUGGAAUGGCAAUAAGCAAUAUAUCUAAUUCGCUUGCGUGUUCGUGUGGCUGAUAUGCAUUGUGAACAGAUUUCUUACGGGUUACCUUAAAUGGUUUCUUAUAUGGUUUGGAUCCGUAUCAAGAUUGGCACCCUAUCACCUUCUUCGUUCUGAUUUCAACCCAAAUAGCAGAUUUGGAGGAUCGACGGAGAUUUGUGCAGGCAUAUUUCAGCUCUGCAGGUGAAUGUCUGAAAACUUGGAUAAUGGAAGCAUGGAGUGGGUGUUCUCACAAGAAAAUAGUUGCAGCAUCAGCAGCCACAGCCUUUUGGAAUCUGACUUCCAUUAAAACCUGAAUUUUCGCAGCAUUCAUAAGUUUGGUGAUCUUUAGAUGGUGUAGACAAGAGUGACAUGGUCUAAAAAAGGUAUGCAACGGCCGGGCCAGGUUUACCUUAACUCCUUUUGUCCAUUUUUUUAAAUAAUUAGUUUGUCAAAUGUAAUCUUUUAAUCAAUUAGUAUGUAACAGGUUGGGUCAGUUGGACCUAAAUCAUCUAUUGUCCAUUUUAUAAAAAAUAUUAGUGUGUCAAAUAUGAUUGUAAAAUAUAUAACGGUAUGAGUCGUGUUUCUUUUGUAGACUCUACAACCUAACUUAAGGUCACUAACACCUGCAUGAUGCUUGGGACCUAACUUAAGGUCACUAACACCUGCAUGAUGCUUGGGGGUUCGUUUCACCUUAACUCUAGGAAGCUCCAGGAAGCUUAGGAAUUCAGUUUUUUUUCCUUUUUAAACAGAAAACGAGCCCUAACUACAAAGUUUAAUCAUGUUCUAGAAGACCUUGCAGCCCAGAAUGAUUUGGUUUAAGAUGUGUCCCCGCUGCAACGCGCGGACACCAAACUAGAAGGAGGUGACCAUGAUUAUGAUGAGCAAAGUCAUGCUUAAUGUGUGCAUGAACAACUUUGCAGAGAAAGGGGGGUUGUUGGAAUAUUUCAUUUUGGUAGGCGUAUGAGUUAUGAAAUAAUGUAAUUUGUGAAGCAUUUAACCAGUGGUGAAUGGUGGAUAAUGUUUCCAUGCG
Helianthus annuus (common sunflower) is the source of this 1321-nucleotide long non-coding RNA. RefSeq lists it as uncharacterized. The record is from RefSeq and is a predicted model, not a curated record. Lineage: Eukaryota; Viridiplantae; Streptophyta; Magnoliopsida; Asterales; Asteraceae. The transcript has 6 exons.